RNAcentral lists this transfer RNA (80 nucleotides) under Ignavibacteria bacterium. RNAcentral describes it as "tRNA-Cys". It matches the Rfam family "tRNA". Rfam says of the family: Transfer RNA (tRNA) molecules are approximately 80 nucleotides in length. Their secondary structure includes four short double-helical elements and three loops (D, anti-codon, and T loops). Lineage: Bacteria; Pseudomonadati; Ignavibacteriota; Ignavibacteria. The record is from RNAcentral.
GUGGGAGUCGCCAAGUGGUUCAAGGCGCAAGUCUGCAAAACUUGUAUAUGUCGUGGGUUCGAAUCCCACCUCCCACUCGA